Molecule: ribosomal RNA, 164 nt
Filed under: uncultured bacterium
Lineage: Bacteria
Description: partial 16S rRNA
Rfam family: Bacterial small subunit ribosomal RNA
Source: RNAcentral
CAGGGAAUCUUCCACAAUGGACGCAAGUCUGAUGGAGCAACGCCGCGUGAGUGAAGAAGGGUUUCGGCUCGUAAAGCUCUGUUGUUAAAGAAGAACGUGGGUAAGAGUAACUGUUUACCCAGUGACGGUAUUUAACCAGAAAGCCACGGCUAACUACGUGCCAG